This 468-nucleotide ribosomal RNA is filed under the name uncultured bacterium. RNAcentral describes it as "partial 16S ribosomal RNA". It matches the Rfam family "Bacterial small subunit ribosomal RNA", at positions 28 to 507 of the family's 1533-position model. The record is from RNAcentral.
GACGAACGCUGGCGGCGUGCUUAACACAUGCAAGUCGAACGGAAAGGCCCUGCUUUUGUGGGGUGCUCGAGUGGCGAACGGGUGAGUAACACGUGAGUAACCUGCCCUUGACUUUGGGAUAACUUCAGGAAACUGGGGCUAAUACCGGAUAGGAGCUCCUGCUGCAUGGUGGGGGUUGGAAAGUUUCGGCGGUUGGGGAUGGACUCGCGGCUUAUCAGCUUGUUGGUGGGGUAGUGGCUUACCAAGGCUUUGAGGGGUAGCCGGCCUGAGAGGGUGACCGGCCACAUUGGGACUGCGAUACGGCCCAGACUCCUACGGGAGGCAGCAGUGGGGAAUAUUGCACAAUGGGCGGAAGCCUGAUGCAGCAACGCCGCGUGCGGGAUGACGGCCUUCGGGUUGUAAACCGCUUUCGCCUGUGACGAAGCGUGAGUGACGGUAAUGGGUAAAGAAGCACCGGCUAACUACGUG